Molecule: ribosomal RNA, 392 nt
Filed under: Vibrio sp. 03_296
Lineage: Bacteria; Pseudomonadati; Pseudomonadota; Gammaproteobacteria; Vibrionales; Vibrionaceae
Description: bacterial SSU rRNA
Rfam family: Bacterial small subunit ribosomal RNA
Source: RNAcentral
UUUAAUUGAAGAGUUUGAUCAUGGCUCAGAUUGAACGCUGGCGGCAGGCCUAACACAUGCAAGUCGAGCGGCAGCACAGAGAAACUUGUUUCUCGGGUGGCGAGCGGCGGACGGGUGAGUAAUGCCUGGGAAAUUGCCCUGAUGUGGGGGAUAACCAUUGGAAACGAUGGCUAAUACCGCAUGAUAGCUUCGGCUCAAAGAGGGGGACCUUCGGGCCUCGUCGCGUCAGGAUAUGCCCAGGUGGGAUUAGCUAGUUGGUGAGGUAAGGGCUCACCAAGGCGACGAUCCCUAGCUGGUCUGAGAGGAUGAUCAGCCACACUGGAACUGAGACACGGUCCAGACUCCUACGGGAGGCAGCAGUGGGGAAUAUUGCACAAUGGGCGCAAGCCUGA